This is a long non-coding RNA of Oreochromis niloticus (Nile tilapia), 2202 nucleotides long. NCBI's taxonomy places the organism in Eukaryota, Metazoa, Chordata, Actinopteri, Cichliformes, Cichlidae. The record is from Ensembl.
UGGUUUUGCUGUUCGUCAUCGCUGGACUCUUUUCUCCGUGCUCUUUCCUCACAUCAGGUCAGAAAUGUCUCCCAUUGUUUACAAUUUUAUCAUAAUAAAUGUUUACAUUACUAAAAGCUCAUUUGUGAUGUUUUAUGGAUAAACUGUGUGGUGUUACAGGUGGAAACGGCAUGAAUGUAUAUUACUGCGACACUGAAAACUGUGUCAAUGAUGUAAAGCGUGUUUACUGUGAAGAUCUAGAGCUCCUGGGUUUCAAAUUGUCAGAGAUUUCAAAUUGUUCCUACGGUCCGCUUCCACCCAAUACCAUCUGCCAACACAGAGGCCACUUGUUUGUCUCCACCUUCUUAAAGUCCUGUGAAUUUGAAGGGGACACUGACUAUAUAGAGACCAAAAAUUGUACAGACUGCUCUUUUUUAAAUAGAGCUACCACACCGGCAGUCACCCCAAGCACUGUGGAAACAUCUUCGCAGCCCAAUUCCAAACUUCUAGGUGUCGUGCCCGCAGUAGCCUGUUCUACAGGUGUGGUACUGCUGUUAGCGGGUUUCUUUUACAGAAAAGCAAAAAAUCAGCAACAACAAAGGUAACUAAAAUUAAAAAAUAACUUGACUAAUUUGAUAAAAGUAUCCAAAUUUAAAAUAAUGUUUUGUAUCUUUAGACAGACUCAAACCAGUCCUGGGUUGCAGAAUGACAGCUCAUUAGUCUAAUGCCUUGGAUCUAACAUCAUACUCCUUGUUCGAGGCCAGGGCAUGCCUCCACUAAGGGUCCUUCCUGCUACCCAAGCCUACUGUGAGGGACAACUGUAGCCAUGCCGGCUCGGACGUCGUCUUGAUUAAGGUCUGCAUGAGGUGUUGAAGAACCAGAAGAGUUUACAUAAGCAGACAGCAUCAUUCUGAUGCUCGCACUUUUGGCUAGUACUUAAAUAGGGCUUUUCCAAGUGAUGGCAACAUCAAGAAGAAGGAAUGCUCAAUAGCAGAAUAAGCUGUUUAGUACUACCUGAAAGAAUUUGCCAAGUUUUUCAUGGGGGAAAUCCAAAAAUGUAUUUUCCUCACAAAUGUGACACAUUUAUGUGGAAAUACACAGGCUUUCCAACAUGGAAGUACAAAGAAGGAUUGUUACAACCAACUUUAUAUUAUCUGUAGAUGUAUUAUUAUGUGUGUAAAAAGAAAAUAAUCAUAUUUCUAACCAAAAUGGUUUUCCCUCUUUAAAAUUGUUUAUUUAUUCUUCUUCUCAUUAUGUUCUCUAUGAGACUGGCUGUUGUCAGGGCCCAUUUGUGCCCCUUUACAUACUUUUUUUUUAAUCCAGUGGUGCACUGAAUGAGAAGCAGGAAAGGAAGUGUACAUUUGAUUCAAAGAAAUGGGAUGUAGUCUAUAUUUACAGCUAUAUGCAGUAAACUUUGUUAUUAGAGACAAGGACAUUUAGUUAUUUCUGAACAUGUGUAAGGCUGUCAAACAGUAAUUGUUUUGGCCUUUUCUGAGAAGAAAACAGUUCUUUAUAGCACCUAAAAGUAUCACUACAGAAAUAUGCAUUGGUGGAUUUCUUUACAGAGAAGUGGGUGAAAAUUCCUCCAGAGCUGUGUGCAAACUUAUGCUUUUCAGCAAGGAUUCCUCCAUCAUGUAUCACAUCAGUGGUUCCCAAACUUUUUUUUUGCUAGUUUGGGCACAAACACAUCCUUCAACCACACACACCCAUUUUUGUUUUUCAAACUCCAUUGCAGUUUAUUUCACACCUCAAACCUUUUGUAAACAGUGAAACACAGAAAAGUAAACUGUAAUAAAUUACAGCUUGCAAUAAUAAACCACUAAACAAACCAUCUUUAUGGUGAAAUUAUUUUACGUAUAGUUGUUGUUGUUUUUUUACUGUGUAAGAAUAUUCAACCAUGCUAUCAAUACAUUUUUCAAAAAAUGUCUCUCUGUGCAAAAUGAGUUUAAAAACAUAAACAACUGUGGGAUACUGUUUGUCAGUGAUUUGAACCAGGAAAACAAACUGUGGCAGGAUCAGCCUGAUAUUAUUUGUAUCCCACUGUAACUUUACUGUAUAAAGAGCUAACAUCGCCAAAAUUUCAUUAUAAGAAGUGUUUGUGAAUUAAAAAUCAAGAAUGUGGGAUACUGUUUGUCCGUGAUUUGAACAGUCCAGCGCAUGCUCCUGACGCAGGGGAAACAAAUUCUGUCGGGGAGACCAACCUUGGCAGCACCAUUGUGCAGG